This 73-nucleotide transfer RNA is filed under the name Bos taurus (domestic cattle). It matches the Rfam family "tRNA". Rfam says of the family: Transfer RNA (tRNA) molecules are approximately 80 nucleotides in length. Their secondary structure includes four short double-helical elements and three loops (D, anti-codon, and T loops). The record is from Rfam by way of RNAcentral. Lineage: Eukaryota; Metazoa; Chordata; Mammalia; Artiodactyla; Bovidae. RNAcentral also lists the same sequence under 1 other name.
UCCCUGGUGGUUCAGUGACUAAGACACCACACUCCCAAUGCAGGGAACCCGGGUUUGACUCCUGGUCAGGGAA